AUUGAACGCUGGCGGCAGGCCUAACACAUGCAAGUCGGGCGAGUGGCGGACGGGUGCGUAAUGUAUGGGGAUCUGCCUGAUGGAGGGGGAUAACUACUGAAAACGGUAGCUAAUACCGCAUACCAUCAGAUGAUCCCAUAUGGGAUUAGCUUGUAGGUAAGGUAACGGCUUACCUAGGCGACGAUCCCUAGCUGGUCUGAGAGGAUGACCGUCCACACUGGGACGGAGAAACGGCCCAGACUCCUACGGGAGGCAGCAGUGGGGAAUAUUGCACAAUGGGCGCAAGCCUGAUGCAGCCAUGCCGCGUGUAUGAAGAAGUCCUUCGGGUUGUAAAGUACUUUCAGUCGGGAGGCGUUACCGACAGAAGAAGCACCGGCUAACUCCGUGCCAGCAGCCGCGGUAAUUC
This 406-nucleotide ribosomal RNA is filed under the name uncultured bacterium. Its description in RNAcentral is "partial 16S ribosomal RNA". It matches the Rfam family "Bacterial small subunit ribosomal RNA", at positions 30 to 526 of the family's 1533-position model. The record is from RNAcentral.